AAAAAUAAAGUUGCUACAACUCAUAUAUACCCUAGAAUAAGGCUAGGGAGUCUCUACCGGAUAACCGUAAAUUAUCUGACUAUGAGUGGAAAUCAAUAUGUA
This 102-nucleotide non-coding RNA is filed under the name Gottschalkia purinilytica. RNAcentral describes it as "Clostridium purinilyticum Guanine sequence". It matches the Rfam family "Purine riboswitch aptamer". From Rfam's summary of the family: Riboswitches are metabolite binding domains within certain messenger RNAs that serve as precision sensors for their corresponding targets. Allosteric rearrangement of mRNA structure is mediated by ligand binding, and this results in modulation of gene expression. Lineage: Bacteria; Bacillati; Bacillota; Tissierellia; Tissierellales; Gottschalkiaceae. The record is from Rfam by way of RNAcentral.